Saccostrea echinata is the source of this 370-nucleotide long non-coding RNA. RefSeq lists it as uncharacterized. The transcript is spliced from 2 exons. Lineage: Eukaryota; Metazoa; Mollusca; Bivalvia; Ostreida; Ostreidae. The record is from RefSeq and is a predicted model, not a curated record.
CAUCCUUACUUAGGAGUGGAAAAAUCAGAAGAGACUCCACCGUAAGAUAGAGGUAACGCUGAGUGAAUUUGACGUGAAGCACGUGUCGGCAGAUUCCUUGACCAGGGCUAAAGAUGUGCUUAAGAGUAUGGACAGUGCCAAGGCCCGCAAAUCUAGCGCUGCCGCCGCCAAACUUUAUGAAUGGGCGAUAACUAUAAUAAAAGACAUGGAAGAUCAAAACAAGGAUUGAAUCAGGAGGCAGCACUUAUAUGUACAGGGCACUUCUGUAUUAAUCGUGCUAUCUGUCAUGACAAAUCAACUAAAAACGAGAACAUACUAAACUUCCACAUUUAAAACUAGAAAAAAAGACAAAUAAAUAUUAAAACUAUAA